RNAcentral lists this unclassified non-coding RNA (170 nucleotides) under uncultured fungus. RNAcentral describes it as "sequence contains ITS1, 5.8S rRNA gene". The record is from RNAcentral. Lineage: Eukaryota; Fungi.
UCGAGGUAUAUGACAACAAUUUGUUGUUUCCUCCCACCCUUUGUUUACAUCUGUAAUCAUUUUAUACUUCGGCGAGGCGCUCUAGGGCUGUUGGCUAAUUGCGAACAAGAUCUCGCCGAAGGACAAAACAUCUAAAUCAUCUACAACAAAUUUUCUAUCAUAAUUUAUAA